ACAUGCAAGUCGAACGGCAGCACGGGAGCAAUCCUGGUGGCGAGUGGCGAACGGGUGAGUAAUAUAUCGGAACGUGCCCAGUCGUGGGGGAUAACGCAGCGAAAGCUGAGCUAAUACCGCAUACGAUCUCUGGAUGAAAGCGGGGGACUCGCAAGGGCCUCGCGCGAUUGGAGCGGCCGAUAUCAGAUUAGCUAGUUGGCGGGGUAAAAGCCCACCAAGGCGACGAUCUGUAGCUGGUCUGAGAGGACGACCAGCCACACUGGAACUGAGACACGGUCCAGACUCCUACGGGAGGCAGCAGUGGGGAAUUUUGGACAAUGGGCGCAAGCCUGAUCCAGCAAUGCCGCGUGCAGGAUGAAGGCCUUCGGGUUGUAAACUGCUUUUGUACGGAACGAAACGGUCUGCCCUAAUACGGUGGGCUAAUGACGGUACCGUGAGAAUAAGCACCGGCUAACUACGUGCCAGCAGCCGCGGUAAUACGUAGGGUGCGAGCGUUAAUCGGAAUUACUGGGCGUAAAGCGUGCGCAGGCGGUUAUAUAAGACAGAUGUGAAAUCCCCGGGCUCAACCUGGGACCUGCAUUUGUGACUGUAUAGCUAGAGUACGAUAGAGGGGGAUGGAAUUCCGCGUGUAGCAGUGAAAUGCGUAGAUAUGCGGAGGAACACCGACGGCGAAGGCAAUCCCCUGGACCUGUACUGACGCUCA
This 703-nucleotide ribosomal RNA is filed under the name uncultured soil bacterium. Its description in RNAcentral is "bacterial SSU rRNA". It matches the Rfam family "Bacterial small subunit ribosomal RNA", at positions 53 to 749 of the family's 1533-position model. The record is from RNAcentral.